Molecule: long non-coding RNA, 651 nt
Organism: Engraulis encrasicolus (European anchovy)
Lineage: Eukaryota; Metazoa; Chordata; Actinopteri; Clupeiformes; Engraulidae
Exons: 3
Source: RefSeq, a predicted model, not a curated record
AGAGAAGAGUGAUUACAGACGUCAUCACAGCGUAGUAUGGCAUGGCCGUGAGGUCAGUACUUGAGGCAUCAAAGUAAAGUGCAAUGCCACUACCGCCAGGGCUGGAGUGUGGAACAGUGAUAGGAUGCCAUGAAUGUUUGUCAGCUGUCCUUAAUUAUGACUGGGGUCGAGUCCGAAGACGAGGCAGGUCGGGAGGAGCUCAUCUCAGGUCAGAUGAUGUCCAUAAAGGGGGACAGAGACACGGGGAGAGAAAGGCCAUUGCAUGGUAGGCCACAUACGAUACGGGGCUUUUAUGCCUUUAUUUUGACAGGACAGUCGAAGAUGGUGACAGGAAGCGAAUGGGACAGAGAGACAGGGGAAGAUUGGGAAAUGACCCCGGCCGGACUCCCCAUGGGUGGGCAUGCAAGCCCAAAUGUGGGGGGCUUAGCACGCUGCGCCACAGCGCCACCCCCUUAACCUACUUUUAAAAAACCUCUUUCUUCUGUUUGAGAACUGUCUGACUCCCUGAGGAAGGCUAGAGGACCGAAACAUGUUGGAGUUUUUUAAAGGUUUCUGUAACCAAGCCAUGUAAUAAAAGGUUUUUUUUAUUUUUGAUAGAGGAGAGUUCUUGAUGAAGGUAUAGUACCGAAACGUCGUUUAUUAAAGAAAGAA